Molecule: long non-coding RNA, 543 nt
Organism: Athene cunicularia (burrowing owl)
Lineage: Eukaryota; Metazoa; Chordata; Aves; Strigiformes; Strigidae
Exons: 3
Source: RefSeq, a predicted model, not a curated record
GAGCCCUUGGUGCCUGCCGGGGAUGUGCCCCGUGAGGUGCCUUUGUUCAGCCGGCGAGGCGGGAUGUCCCCGGUGCGCCGAUGGCGGCAAGUCACAUCCUGGCAGAGGGACCACAAUGCUUGGCCGCAGCUGGAGAAUGAAUCUUUCAGUGCAGCGUCUCCUGGGAUUUCUCCGGCUCCCCAGCCAUCUGCGGGUCAAUGAGAGACAACCGGUAGCAUCUGGCAGACAUAGUCACAGGAGGAAAGAGAAAGGGACAAUCACAUGUAAUAGGGCAAUGUCGAUCCCUCAGGAAGACUAAUUAAAGCAAUGCGGAAAAAGAAGAAUACACCAAAGUGGCAUGAACUAUACACUGAGAGCCUCACAGCUUCAUCUUGCACUCUGCAUUUUACUCAGCAGCAUCCUCAGCCUUUACUCUGCCCAUGACAUCACCUGUGACAAACUUCUAAAGGCUAUCUGGGACAUACAGUUGUUAGUAAGAUGUUUUGAAGGCAAAAGGUUUGUGCAAGUAUAACUCAGAGCAUAAACUGGUCUGAAGAAUCUUAA